UGCGGAAGGAUCAUUACUGAGUGCGGGCUCCGGGCCCAACCUCCCACCCGUGUCUCUUAGGUACUUUGUUGCUUUGGCGGGCCCAUCGGGUCACUCCGGUCGCCGGGGGGCGCUAUGCUCCCGGGCCCGUGCCCGCCAGAGCACCCCUGUGAACCCUGAUGAAGAGAGGCUGUCUGAGUCCCACGAUAAUCGUUAAAACUUUCAACAAUGGAUCUCUUGGUUCCGGCAUCGAUGAAGAACGCAGCGAAAUGCGAUAAGUAAUGUGAAUUGCAGAAUUCCGUGAAUCAUCGAAUCUUUGAACGCACAUUGCGCCCCCUGGCAUUCCGGGGGGCAUGCCUGUCCGAGCGUCAUUUCUGCCCUCAAGCGCGGCUUGUGUGUUGGGCGUGGUCCCCCUGGCUUUGGCGGGGACCUGCCUGAAAGGCAGCGGCGACGUCCCGCCUAGUCCUCGAGCGUAUGGGGCUCUGUCACGCGCUCGGGAGGGACUGGUGGGCGUUGGCGUUGGUCACCCCUUAUUCUUUCUAUGGUUGACCUCGGAUCNNNUAGGAGUUACCCGCUGAACUUAAGCAUAUCAAUAAGCGG
RNAcentral lists this ribosomal RNA (579 nucleotides) under Talaromyces gossypii. The stretch from base 197 to 350 matches the Rfam family "5.8S ribosomal RNA". Lineage: Eukaryota; Fungi; Ascomycota; Eurotiomycetes; Eurotiales; Trichocomaceae. The record is from RNAcentral.